This 30-nucleotide non-coding RNA is filed under the name Rattus norvegicus (Norway rat). Lineage: Eukaryota; Metazoa; Chordata; Mammalia; Rodentia; Muridae. The record is from RNAcentral.
UAAGCCUCUACUAAGUUUUUGCCUUCCUUA